UACCAGACUCCUACGGGAGGCAGCAGUGAGGAAUAUUGGUCAAUGGGCGCGAGCCUGAACCAGCCAAGUCGCGUGAGGGAUGACGGUCCUACGGAUUGUAAACCUCUUUUGCCGGGGAGCAAGCGUGCGUUCGUGAACGCGCGUCGAGAGUACCCGGAGAAAAAGCAUCGGCUAACUCCGUGCCAGCAGCCGCGGUAAUACGGAGGAUGCGAGCGUUAAUCGGAAUUACUGGGCGUAAAGGGUGUGCAGGCGGCUGAGUAAGACAGAUGUGAAAUCCCCGGGCUUAACCUGGGAACCGCAUAUGUGACUGCUUGGCUAGAGUGCGUCAGAGGGUGGUGGAAUUCCACGUGUAGCAGUGAAAUGCGUAGAUAUGUGGAAGAACACCGAUGGCGAAGGCAGCCUCCUGGACGCAACUGACGCUCAUACACGAAAGCGUGGGGAGCAAACAGGAUUAGAUACCCGGGUA
This 466-nucleotide ribosomal RNA is filed under the name uncultured bacterium. RNAcentral describes it as "bacterial SSU rRNA". It matches the Rfam family "Bacterial small subunit ribosomal RNA", at positions 329 to 792 of the family's 1533-position model. The record is from RNAcentral.